AUUGAACGCUGGCGGCAUGCCUUACACAUGCAAGUCGAACGGCAGCACGGGAGCAAUCCUGGUGGCGAGUGGCGAACGGGUGAGUAAUAUAUCGGAACGUGCCCAGUCGUGGGGGAUAACGUAGCGAAAGCUACGCUAAUACCGCAUACGAUCUAUGGAUGAAAGCGGGGGAUCGCAAGACCUCGCGCGAUUGGAGCGGCCGAUAUCAGAUUAGGUAGUUGGUGAGGUAAAGGCUCACCAAGCCGACGAUCUGUAGCUGGUCUGAGAGGACGACCAGCCACACUGGGACUGAGACACGGCCCAGACUCCUACGGGAGGCAGCAGUGGGGAAUUUUGGACAAUGGGCGCAAGCCUGAUCCAGCAAUGCCGCGUGCAGGAUGAAGGCCUUCGGGUUGUAAACUGCUUUUGUACGGAACGGAACGGUGAGCUCUAAUACAGUUUGCUAAUGACGGUACCGUAAGAAUAAGCACCGGCUAACUACGUG
RNAcentral lists this ribosomal RNA (484 nucleotides) under uncultured bacterium. RNAcentral's name for it is "bacterial SSU rRNA". It matches the Rfam family "Bacterial small subunit ribosomal RNA", at positions 30 to 507 of the family's 1533-position model. The record is from RNAcentral.